This 477-nucleotide ribosomal RNA is filed under the name Candidatus Scalindua marina (nom. nud.). RNAcentral's name for it is "bacterial SSU rRNA". It matches the Rfam family "Bacterial small subunit ribosomal RNA", at positions 365 to 832 of the family's 1533-position model. The record is from RNAcentral. Lineage: Bacteria; Pseudomonadati; Planctomycetota; Candidatus Brocadiia; Candidatus Brocadiales; Candidatus Scalinduaceae.
UUCGCAAUGCCCGAAAGGGUGACGAAGCGACGCCGCGUGGGUGAGGAAGGCCUUCGGGUUGUAAAGCCCUGUCAGGAGUUAAGAAAUAUAAGUGCGCUAAUAUCGCAUUUAUUUGACGAAGGCUCCAAAGGAAGCCACGGCUAACUCUGUGCCAGCAGCCGCGGUAAUACAGAGGUGGCAAGCGUUGUUCGGAAUUAUUGGGCGUAAAGAGCACGUAGGUGGGUUCGUAAGUCAGAUGUGAAAGCCUUCUGUUCAACGGAAGAAUUGCAUCUGAAACUACAAGUCUUGAGUGUAGGAGGGGAGAAUGGAACUUCUGGUGGAGCGGUGAAAUGCGUAGAUAUCAGAAGGAACGCCGGCGGCGAAAGCGAUUCUCUGGCCUAUUACUGACACUCAGUGUGCGAAAGCUAGGGGAGCAAACGGGAUUAGAUACCCCGGUAGUCCUAGCUGUAAACGAUGGGCACUAAGUAGAGGGGUUUU